GACUGCCCGUACUGCAAACCGACACAGGUGGUCAGGAUGAGAAAUCUAAGGCGGACAGGCUAACUCUCGUUAAGGAACUCUGCAAAAUAACCUCGUAACUUCGGGAGAAGAGGAGCCCUUGGGUGUUAGUAUCCACGCGAUACAAAGCGCUCGAGGGUCGCAGUGAAGAGGCUCAAGCAACUGUUUAACAAAAACACAGGUCUAUGCUAAGCUGGAAGGCGAUGUAUAUGGGCUGACACCUGCCCAGUGCUGGAAGGUUAAGAGGAGGAGUGAGAGCUCCGAAUUGAAGCCCCAGUGAACGGCGGCCGUAACUAUAACGGUCCUAAGGUAGCGAAAUUCCUUGUCGGGUAAGUUCCGACCUGCACGAAUGGUGUAAUGAUUUGAGCGCUGUCUUGACGGGAGGCCUGGUGAAAUUGUAUUACCGGUGAAGAUACCGGUUACCUACAGUAGGACGGAAAGACCCCAUGGAGCUUUACUGUAGCUUGGUAUUGGGUUUUGGCAUUGCAUGUAUAGGAUAGUUGGGAGACUGAGAUGAUAUGGCGCUAGCUGUAUCGGAGUCAUCGGUGGAAUACCAACCAUUCAAUGCUGAAAUUCUAAUCUGUGGUUUGUAGCCACGGAGACAGUGCUAGGUGGGCAGUUUGACUGGGGCGGUCGCCUCCGAAAGAGUAACGGAGGCGUUCAAAGGUUCUCUCAGGUUGGAUGGAAAUCAACCAUAGAGUGCAAUGGCAUAAGAGAGCUUGACUGCAAGACUGACGGGUCGAGCAGAUGCGAAAGCAGGACAUAGUGAUCCGGCGAUUCCGAAUGGAAGGGUCGUCGCUCAACGGAUAAAAGCUACCCUGGGGAUAACAGGCUGAUCCUACCCGAGAGUCCAUAUCGACGGUAGGGUUUGGCACCUCGAUGUCGGCUCAUCGCAUCCUGGGGCUGGAGAAGGUCCCAAGGGUUGGGCUGUUCGCCCAUUAAAGCGGUACGUGAGCUGGGUUCAGAACGUCGUGAGACAGUUCGGUCCCUAUCCACUGUAGGCGUUAGAAUAUUGAGAAGACCUGUCCUUAGUACGAGAGGACCGGGAUGGACAAACCUCUGAUGUACCAGUUGUCACGCCAGUGGCACAGCUGGGUAGUCACGUUUGGAAUAGAUAACCGCUGAAAGCAUCUAAGCGGGAAACUAACUUCAAGAUAAGUAUUCUUUAAGAUACCUUCGAGCCUAGGAGGUUGAUAGGUUGGGGGUGUAAGUACAGCAAUGUAUUUAGCUGACCAAUACUAAU
Molecule: ribosomal RNA, 1261 nt
Filed under: Fusobacterium hwasookii ChDC F128
Lineage: Bacteria; Fusobacteriati; Fusobacteriota; Fusobacteriia; Fusobacteriales; Fusobacteriaceae
Description: bacterial LSU rRNA
Rfam family: Bacterial large subunit ribosomal RNA
Source: RNAcentral